RNAcentral lists this ribosomal RNA (487 nucleotides) under uncultured bacterium. Its description in RNAcentral is "bacterial SSU rRNA". It matches the Rfam family "Bacterial small subunit ribosomal RNA", at positions 18 to 518 of the family's 1533-position model. The record is from RNAcentral.
UCUGGCUCAGGAUGAACGCUGGCGGCGUGCAUAACACAUUCAAGUCGAACGAAGGACAGAGCUUGCUCUGUUACUUAGUGGCGGACGGGUGAGUAACGCGUGAGUAAUCUGGCCUCUGUGUGCGGGAUAACAGCUGGAAACGGCUGCUAAUACCGCAUGAUGCAUCGAGACCGCAUGGUCAUGAUGCCAAAGAUUUAUUGCACAGAGAUGAACUUGCGUCCGAUUAGAUAGUUGGCGGGGUAAAGGCCCACCAAGUCUACGAUCGGUAGCCGGACUGAGAGGUUGAACGGCCACAUUGGAACUGAGAUACGGUCCAGACUCCUACGGGAGGCAGCAGUGGGGAAUUUUGGGCAAUGGGCGAAAGCCUCGACCCAGCGACGCCGCGUGAAGGAAGAAGAUCUUCGGAUUGUAAACUUCUGUCAACAGGGAAGAAACAAAUGACGGUACCUGUGGAGGAAGCCACGGCUAACUACGUGCCAGCCGCAGC